Molecule: ribosomal RNA, 490 nt
Filed under: uncultured bacterium
Lineage: Bacteria
Description: partial 16S ribosomal RNA
Rfam family: Bacterial small subunit ribosomal RNA
Source: RNAcentral
AUUGAACGCUGGCGGCAGGCCUAACACAUGCAAGUCGAACGGUAACAGGAAGAAGCUUGCUUCUUUGCUGACGAGUGGCGGACGGGUGAGUAAUGUCUGGGAGACCGCCUGAUGGAGGGGGAUAACUACUGGAAACGGUAGCUAAUACCGCAUAACGUCGCAAGACCAAAGAGGGGGACCUUCGGGCCUCUUGCCAUCGGAUGUGCCCAGAUGGGAUUAGCUAGUAGGUGGGGUAACGGCUCACCUAGGCGACGAUCCCUAGCUGGUCUGAGAGGAUGACCAGCCACACUGGAACUGAGACACGGUCCAGACUCCUACGGGAGGCAGCAGUGGGGAAUAUUGCACAAUGGGCGCAAGCCUGAUGCAGCCAUGCCGCGUGUAUGAAGAAGGCCUUCGGGUUGUAAAGUACUUUCAGCGGGGAGAAAGGGAGUAAAGUUAAUACCUUUGCUCAUUGACGUUACCCGCAGAAGAAGCACCGGCUAACUCCGUG